GAUGCUGCUCUCCAGCGAAGGUCGAUCCACGUCAGCUCCCAAGAGGGAGGAAAGCGAGCAGCGCACAAGCACGACCCGUAACUUUGCCUCCGUGCCGUUGAACCUGGCAGCGCUCCUUUUGCCCUCCCAUUAAAAUGCCUGCUGGCUUCUCCCAAGUGGGUCAAUAAGGUAUCAUUAGAGCGUCUCAUCGGACGGCCCCAGAACGAAAACAACAAGACCACAGCAGAUACGAGAAAACCAUGAGGACUAGCGGCGGGGUGCUCCUCCUGUUCCUUCUGCAGCUGAGUUCGCCUCAUGUCUUAGAAUGGACGUACAAUGGUAA
This is a non-coding RNA of Anolis sagrei ordinatus, 322 nucleotides long. NCBI's taxonomy places the organism in Eukaryota, Metazoa, Chordata, Lepidosauria, Squamata, Anolidae. The record is from RefSeq and is a predicted model, not a curated record.